GUGAAUCAUCGAAUUUUUGAACGCAAAUUGCACUCUCUUUGGAGAGUAUGCCUGUUUGAGGGUCAGUAAUAAUAAAAUCGGGGUGUUGCUUUCUUUGUGACGCACCGGAGAUUGGGCUACCUUUCAUUCUUAGGUUUAAGAUGCUUAAAUUUGAACUUUUUUGUGGAUUUUUAGACGUACAUAAAUUUAUUUUCUUGUUUAUUUUGGUGUCACUUAUCUAUUAGGUGCGAUCAUGUAAUAUGAUCUCGUGCCUA
This 254-nucleotide unclassified non-coding RNA is filed under the name Glomeraceae sp. Its description in RNAcentral is "partial contains 5.8S ribosomal RNA and internal transcribed spacer 2". The stretch from base 1 to 65 matches the Rfam family "5.8S ribosomal RNA", at positions 84 to 154 of the family's 154-position model. The record is from RNAcentral. Lineage: Eukaryota; Fungi; Glomeromycota; Glomeromycetes; Glomerales; Glomeraceae.